UGGGGAAUUUUGGACAAUGGGGGCAACCCUGAUCCAGCAAUGCCGCGUGUGUGAAGAAGGCCUUCGGGUUGUAAAGCACUUUUGUCCGGGAAGAAAUCCCCUGCCCUAAUACGGCGGGGGAUGACGGUACCGGAAGAAUAAGCACCGGCUAACUACGUGUCAGCAGCCGCGGUAAUACGUAGGGUGCGAGCGUUAAUCGGAAUUACUGGGCGUAAAGCGUGCGCAGGCGGUGAUGUAAGACCGAUGUGAAAUCCCCGGGCUCAACCUGGGAACUGCAUUGGUGACUGCAUUGCUCGAGUAUGGCAGAGGGGGUGGAAUUCCACGUGUAGCAGUGAAAUGCGUAGAGAUGUGGAGGAACACCGAUGGCGAAGGCAGCCCCCUGGGCCAAUACUGACGCUCAUGCACGAAAGCGUGGGGAGCAAACAGGAUUAGAUACCCUGGUAGUCCACGCCCUAAACGAUGUCAACUGGUUGUCGGGCCUUCAUUGGCUUGGUAACGUAGCUAACGCGUGAAGUUGACCGCCUGGGGGAGUACG
RNAcentral lists this ribosomal RNA (535 nucleotides) under uncultured bacterium. RNAcentral describes it as "partial 16S ribosomal RNA". It matches the Rfam family "Bacterial small subunit ribosomal RNA", at positions 355 to 884 of the family's 1533-position model. The record is from RNAcentral.